This 1612-nucleotide ribosomal RNA is filed under the name Escherichia coli. RNAcentral's name for it is "partial 23S ribosomal RNA". It matches the Rfam family "Bacterial large subunit ribosomal RNA", at positions 1261 to 2853 of the family's 2925-position model. Lineage: Bacteria; Pseudomonadati; Pseudomonadota; Gammaproteobacteria; Enterobacterales; Enterobacteriaceae. The record is from RNAcentral.
CUGUGAGGCAUGCUGGAGGUAUCAGAAGUGCGAAUGCUGACAUAAGUAACGAUAAAGCGGGUGAAAAGCCCGCUCGCCGGAAGACCAAGGGUUCCUGUCCAACGUUAAUCGGGGCAGGGUGAGUCGACCCCUAAGGCGAGGCCGAAAGGCGUAGUCGAUGGGAAACAGGUUAAUAUUCCUGUACUUGGUGUUACUGCGAAGGGGGGACGGAGAAGGCUAUGUUGGCCGGGCGACGGUUGUCCCGGUUUAAGCGUGUAGGCUGGUUUUCCAGGCAAAUCCGGAAAAUCAAGGCUGAGGCGUGAUGACGAGGCACUACGGUGCUGAAGCAACAAAUGCCCUGCUUCCAGGAAAAGCCUCUAAGCAUCAGGUAACAUCAAAUCGUACCCCAAACCGACACAGGUGGUCAGGUAGAGAAUACCAAGGCGCUUGAGAGAACUCGGGUGAAGGAACUAGGCAAAAUGGUGCCGUAACUUCGGGAGAAGGCACGCUGAUAUGUAGGUGAAGUCCCUCGCGGAUGGAGCUGAAAUCAGUCGAAGAUACCAGCUGGCUGCAACUGUUUAUUAAAAACACAGCACUGUGCAAACACGAAAGUGGACGUAUACGGUGUGACGCCUGCCCGGUGCCGGAAGGUUAAUUGAUGGGGUCAGCGCAAGCGAAGCUCUUGAUCGAAGCCCCGGUAAACGGCGGCCGUAACUAUAACGGUCCUAAGGUAGCGAAAUUCCUUGUCGGGUAAGUUCCGACCUGCACGAAUGGCGUAAUGAUGGCCAGGCUGUCUCCACCCGAGACUCAGUGAAAUUGAACUCGCUGUGAAGAUGCAGUGUACCCGCGGCAAGACGGAAAGACCCCGUGAACCUUUACUAUAGCUUGACACUGAACAUUGAGCCUUGAUGUGUAGGAUAGGUGGGAGGCUUUGAAGUGUGGACGCCAGUCUGCAUGGAGCCGACCUUGAAAUACCACCCUUUAAUGUUUGAUGUUCUAACGUGGACCCGUGAUCCGGGUUGCGGACAGUGUCUGGUGGGUAGUUUGACUGGGGCGGUCUCCUCCUAAAGAGUAACGGAGGAGCACGAAGGUUGGCUAAUCCUGGUCGGACAUCAGGAGGUUAGUGCAAUGGCAUAAGCCAGCUUGACUGCGAGCGUGACGGCGCGAGCAGGUGCGAAAGCAGGUCAUAGUGAUCCGGUGGUUCUGAAUGGAAGGGCCAUCGCUCAACGGAUAAAAGGUACUCCGGGGAUAACAGGCUGAUACCGCCCAAGAGUUCAUAUCGACGGCGGUGUUUGGCACCUCGAUGUCGGCUCAUCACAUCCUGGGGCUGAAGUAGGUCCCAAGGGUAUGGCUGUUCGCCAUUUAAAGUGGUACGCGAGCUGGGUUUAGAACGUCGUGAGACAGUUCGGUCCCUAUCUGCCGUGGGCGCUGGAGAACUGAGGGGGGCUGCUCCUAGUACGAGAGGACCGGAGUGGACGCAUCACUGGUGUUCGGGUUGUCAUGCCAAUGGCACUGCCCGGUAGCUAAAUGCGGAAGAGAUAAGUGCUGAAAGCAUCUAAGCACGAAACUUGCCCCGAGAUGAGUUCUCCCUGACCCUUUAAGGGUCCUGAAGGAACGUUGAAGACGACGACGU